AACGAACGCUGGCGGCAGGCCUAACACAUGCAAGUCGAACGAGAACGGAUUAUAGCUUGCUAUAAUUGUCAGCUAAGUGGCGCACGGGUGAGUAAUGUAUAGGUAAUAUACCUCUUACUAAGGGCUAACAAAUGGAAACGUUUGCUAAUACCUUAUACUCCUUAUUAACAGAAGUUAAUAAGGGAAAGAUUUAUUGGUAAGAGCUUAGCCUGUAUUGUAUCAGUUAGUUGGUGGGGUAAUGGCUUACCAAGACUAUGACACAUAACUGGUUUGAGAGGAUGAGCAGUCACACUGGAACUGAGACACGGUCCAGACUCCUACGGGAGGCAGCAGUGGGGAAUAUUGCACAAUGGACGAAAGUCUGAUGCAGCAACGCCGCGUGGAGGAUGACACAUUUCGGUGCGUAAACUCAUUUUAUAUGAGAAGAUAAUGACGGUAUUAUAUGAAUAAGCACCGGCUAACUCCGUGCCAGCCGCCGCGGUAA
This 484-nucleotide ribosomal RNA is filed under the name uncultured bacterium. Its description in RNAcentral is "partial 16S ribosomal RNA". It matches the Rfam family "Bacterial small subunit ribosomal RNA", at positions 29 to 523 of the family's 1533-position model. The record is from RNAcentral.